CGUAUCACUUAAAGCGAUUCAGCGGGUUACGAUUGACGGAGCGAAGCGACGUCAAAGCGUAUACAAAGUCGAGUCGGUUUAAGGAUACGUUCGUUGGGUAGGGGAGCGUUCUGUAAGCCUGUGAAGGUGUGUCGUGAGGCAUGCUGGAGGUAUCAGAAGUGCGAAUGCUGACAUAAGUAACGAUAAAGCGGGUGAAAAGCCCGCUCGCCGGAAGACCAAGGGUUCCUGUCCAACGUUAAUCGGGGCAGGGUGAGUCGACCCCUAAGGCGAGGCCGAAAGGCGUAGUCGAUGGGAAACGGGUUAAUAUUCCCGUACUUGGUGUUACUGCGAAGGGGGGACGGAGAAGGCUAUGUUGGCCGGGCGACGGUUGUCCCGGUUUAAGCGUGUAGGUGUGUGUUCCAGGUAAAUCCGGUUCACUUUAACACUGAGGCGUGACGACGAGGCACUACGGUGCUGAAGCAACAAAUGCCCUGCUUCCAGGAAAAGCCUCUAAGCAUCAGGUAACAUCAAAUCGUACCCCAAACCGACACAGGUGGUCAGGUAGAGAAUACCAAGGCGCUUGAGAGAACUCGGGUGAAGGAACUAGGCAAAAUGGUGCCGUAACUUCGGGAGAAGGCACGCUGACACGUAGGUGAAGUGAUUUACUCAUGGAGCUGAAGUCAGUCGAAGAUACCAGCUGGCUGCAACUGUUUAUUAAAAACACAGCACUGUGCAAACACGAAAGUGGACGUAUACGGUGUGACGCCUGCCCGGUGCCGGAAGGUUAAUUGAUGGGGUCAGCGCAAGCGAAGCUCCUGAUCGAAGCCCCGGUAAACGGCGGCCGUAACUAUAACGGUCCUAAGGUAGCGAAAUUCCUUGUCGGGUAAGUUCCGACCUGCACGAAUGGCGUAAUGAUGGCCAGGCUGUCUCCACCCGAGACUCAGUGAAAUUGAACUCGCUGUGAAGAUGCAGUGUACCCGCGGCAAGACGGAAAGACCCCGUGAACCUUUACUAUAGCUUGACACUGAACAUUGAGCCUUGAUGUGUAGGAUAGGUGGGAGGCUUUGAAGUGUGGACGCCAGUCUGCAUGGAGCCGACCUUGAAAUACCACCCUUUAAUGUUUGAUGUUCUAACGUGGACCCGUGAUCCGGGUUGCGGACAGUGUCUGGUGGGUAGUUUGACUGGGGCGGUCUCCUCCUAAAGAGUAACGGAGGAGCACGAAGGUUGGCUAAUCCUGGUCGGACAUCAGGAGGUUAGUGCAAUGGCAUAAGCCAGCUUGACUGCGAGCGUGACGGCGCGAGCAGGUGCGAAAGCAGGUCAUAGUGAUCCGGUGGUUCUGAAUGGAAGGGCCAUCGCUCAACGGAUAAAAGGUACUCCGGGGAUAACAGGCUGAUACCGCCCAAGAGUUCAUAUCGACGGCGGUGUUUGGCACCUCGAUGUCGGCUCAUCACAUCCUGGGGCUGAAGUAGGUCCCAAGGGUAUGGCUGUUCGCCAUUUAAAGUGGUACGCGAGCUGGGUUUAGAACGUCGUGAGACAGUUCGGUCCCUAUCUGCCGUGGGCGCUGGAGAACUGAGGGGGGCUGCUCCUAGUACGAGAGGACCGGAGUGGACGCAUCACUGGUGUUCGGGUUGUCAUGCCAAUGGCACUGCCCGGUAGCUAAAUGCGGAAGAGAUAAGUGCUGAAAGCAUCUAAGCACGAAACUUGCCCCGAGAUGAGUUCUCCCUGAGACUUAGAGUCUCCUGAAGGAACGUUGAAGACGACGACGUUGAUAGGCCGGGUGUGUAAGCGCAGCGAUGCGUUGAGCUAACCGGUACUAAUGAACCGUGAGGCUUAACCUU
RNAcentral lists this ribosomal RNA (1817 nucleotides) under Salmonella enterica. Its description in RNAcentral is "partial 23S ribosomal RNA". It matches the Rfam family "Bacterial large subunit ribosomal RNA", at positions 1154 to 2925 of the family's 2925-position model. Lineage: Bacteria; Pseudomonadati; Pseudomonadota; Gammaproteobacteria; Enterobacterales; Enterobacteriaceae. The record is from RNAcentral.